RNAcentral lists this ribosomal RNA (715 nucleotides) under Bacillus sp. (in: firmicutes). RNAcentral describes it as "bacterial SSU rRNA". It matches the Rfam family "Bacterial small subunit ribosomal RNA", at positions 48 to 744 of the family's 1533-position model. The record is from RNAcentral. Lineage: Bacteria; Bacillati; Bacillota; Bacilli; Caryophanales; Bacillaceae.
CUAAUACAUGCAAGUCGAGCGGACAGAUGGGAGCUUGCUCCCUGAUGUUAGCGGCGGACGGGUGAGUAACACGUGGGUAACCUGCCUGUAAGACUGGGAUAACUCCGGGAAACCGGGGCUAAUACCGGAUGCUUGAUUGAACCGCAUGGUUCAAUUAUAAAAGGUGGCUUUUAGCUACCACUUACAGAUGGACCCGCGGCGCAUUAGCUAGUUGGUGAGGUAACGGCUCACCAAGGCAACGAUGCGUAGCCGACCUGAGAGGGUGAUCGGCCACACUGGGACUGAAACACGGCCCAAACUCCUACGGGAGGCAGCAGUAGGGAAUCUUCCGCAAUGGACGAAAGUCUGACGGAGCAACGCCGCGUGAGUGAUGAAGGUUUUCGGAUCGUAAAACUCUGUUGUUAGGGAAAAACAAGUACCGUUCGAAUAGGGCGGAACCUUGACGGUACCUAACCAAAAAGCCACGGUUAACUACGUGCCACCAGCCGCGGUAAUACGUAGGUGGCAAGCGUUGUCCGGAAUUAUUGGGCGUAAAGCGCGCGCAGGCGGUUUCUUAAGUCUGAUGUGAAAGCCCCCGGUUCAACCGGGGAGGGUCAUUGGAAACUGGGGAACUUGAGUGCAGAAGAGGAGAGUGGAAUUCCACGUGUAGCGGUGAAAUGCGUAGAGAUGUGGAGGAACACCAGUGGCGAAGGCGACUCUCUGGUCUGUAACUGAC